Molecule: long non-coding RNA, 6899 nt
Filed under: Cinara cedri
Lineage: Eukaryota; Metazoa; Arthropoda; Insecta; Hemiptera; Aphididae
Source: RNAcentral
CACCAGAGAUGCAUUUCAAUAUUAGAUUACAAACUCAUAUUUUUUGUUUUAUAUUUUUAAGCCGAUGGGGGAGGGGUAUAACUCCUAAUAUCCCCCCUCCCCUUGCACACGCCACUGAUUCCGCAUAUUGUAUACCUUCAAUCGGUUUAAUAUCAAUAUUUAUGCUCUAUUUAAAUGGCUUUUAUUGACUCAUAUUAUGAAUUUAAUCACAUAUUUGAGAACUUUUUUUUUGUUUAUUAGAUAAAAAUAAAAAUUCAAGCGAUGUCCUUUUUUUUUGGUUUUUUCCCCCCCCUUUGUUUGUUCCAUUUUAAUGGAAUAGGGCACUUUACUUAUACGGGCCUCCGGACUCCCACAACUGUCACAAUCCGGACCUGAAUAUUGAAAUUUUUUUUUUUCUUUUGUAUAUUACGAUUCUAUUAAAUGAAGAUUUUCACCAUACGAAAAUUGCUGUCGCAAUAAUAGAUUUGCGUCGUCUUUAAAAUAAUAAUCAUUCUCGUUGACGUUCGUAUAUCAUCGCAGAAAAUCGUGCGGACAACUAAACGAUAGUGACUCACCGGGUAAAUAAAAAAUAUAUUCAAAUAUGUUAUUACAAUAAUAUCGCAAUAACAAUUAAACAUACACACGCACACGUCUCGUAUUUUAUGAGCAUCAAAUAUAAUUAACAUUCUGUACAGUAUACAAUUAUACAAUAAUUUUUCUUUUUGUGUUUUUGUGGUUUUUUUUUUUUGUUUUUACAUACUAUAUAAGUACAAAAUAAUAAUACAACAUAAAAUAAUCGCCGCGUAAUUUGCACGAGCGUUAUAUGUAUUAUGGUUUUUUCGCUAUUCUAGAUAAAAACAUCAAAACGAAAUGAUAUGCAUUUUACAAUUAUAUAUUAUACAAAUAAUAAUAAUAAUAAUAAUAAUAAUAAUAAUAGUAAUAGUAAAUAGGUAUAAUUAAUAAUUAUAAUACGAAACGAACACGGAAAUCAAGGUUUACACUUACGACAUAAAUAUUAUAAUAUUGUAUGUAAUAUGUAUAUUGUAUGUAUUAUCGUAGGUAUAUAUAUAUGUAUAUAAUAAUUAUCAUAAUUCAUAAUAAUUAAUAAUAGUGUAAUAAUAUAAUAUAUAUAUAAGUUUGAGAGAAAAAAAAUAAAAAAAAAAAAAUACUAAAUAUUAGGUAUAUAUUAUAUAAAUAUUCGUCCUACUCGCGUUUGACGAGCAAAUUUUUUUUUUUUUUCGAGUGAGUUUAUAUUAUAUAAUAUUGUAUUAUAGCUGUAUAAAUAUUAAUUAUUAUAAUAUAACGAAUAUACACACACACACACAUAUAUAUAUACAUAUAUAUAUGUAUAUAAAUACGUAGACAUAGAAGAGUAUGAUAAUGUACAAAAAACAAAAAAAAAAUUACGAAAUACAAAACGAAUACAUUACAGUUUUGUUCUCGAUAGAGUGCAAUAAUAAUAGGUAGUAUAAUGGAUAAUAUCAUAAUCGGAGAAAUCGGUUAAAACGUAACGACAACAAUAAUAACGACAACAACAAUAAUAAUAUAAAUAAUAAUAAUAAUAGGUAAAAACGCGUAAAAAAUGCGAUUCUAACGCGGCAUUUUUGUCGCACAACGCUCGGCGGGUGCUCGACGAUAUAAUUUAGCGGUUUUUACGGACGUCGAUAAAAUUAUCGUGAUCGGUACGGUUAAACAGUUUCAGACGGAGGCGCCGUGUAGUGUGGGGGGGGGGUGGGGGGGGGCUCGGGAGUGCAGUCCCCCGUGAGUUUGACGAACUGGGGCCGCCAAGGAAUAUAAUAAGACGACUUGGUAUAACCUUACACGAGUAUAUCUAAAACAGCGAGCCCCACCCCCACCCCCUUCACCCGGUGAUCCCCGUUAAAAACUUGACGCCUACGGACUUUCAGCGAUCGUUUGCACAUGCCUUUCGAAACCAACACGAGCGGUGUGCCAAUAAUGCGCGGAGCCGCCGGGAAUUAUAGAAAAACGACGCGCAGUCGUCUGCCCGCUACUACAGGCGUACCCGGUCGUGAUGGAGACGACGAUUGUUCGUUGAUGUUACGAAUCCCGAUAACCGGUGGGCGAUUAUUUUUUUCCCAAAAAAAUUCAAACGUAAUCAUUUUACGUACGCGUUUUCGCGACGCACUAUACCGACAUUAUUAUUGUUAUUAUUAUUAUUAUUAUAUAUAUUUAUAUGUUAUUCUGAACGAAAUUCAUUUCGAAAAAUGGCGGGUUUUAUUUAUUUAUUUUUUGUAAUAAAAUGCGCUGAGCAAAUAAUAUUGUGAACGAACGAACCGACCAGAUCGCCACUGCAGAUGUGUAGGCGUAAAAAAAAAAAAAAAAAAACAAUAUUACUAUUUUUCACUAGAGUUUCGGAAACACGCUCUUGUUGGUCACGUCACGGCACGAUAAUUAUUAAUUAUGGUAUUACUAACGUUCUCGCGGUUAGGUUAACGUGACUGUCGGUCGGUGGCGUAUUUAUAGGAUUUUGCUGAGGCGGAGUAGAUAUUGAAUUCUAAAAUUGUGACGUAUCGCGUAUGUAUUAUUAUUAUACAGUGUAUCUAAUAUAGACCGGGGGGGGGGAGUGGGAAGGAUCGAUUUAAAUUUUUGCCGGUUAGAAAUUUUUGUGUUACGUAAUUAUUCAAUUUAUCCUGAAAUUAUCGUCGAUAGAUAAGGAUUACACUAUAUAGGUGCCCGUCAGUAAUAAUCGUUCUAAGUUUGUGUUAACGGUACGCUAUACUACAGAGGUAUAACUGGACUAUUUGACAUUUUUAUAUUUAACUGCACCAUGUAUGUAAUACAUAAUUAUCUUUGUGUUAGAUAGAUAUAAUACACACGGGAUAGGUGUCGCGGUUCUAAACAAGAAUGACGUGGGCCUAUGCGCGUUCAACCUAAAGGAUAUUUCCGACGCCACAUUUGCGGUUGUCAAUAUCGCGACUAUCACGACAGUGGACUUAGAAUGUCACGAGGCCGUCGCGCGUUCGGACUCCGGGCUUUAUUAUUUUAAUCGAUUUGUCCGCGUCGCAUUUAUAUUAUACGGGUUCGAAGGUUCGGCAACGAAGGUGUGCGUUUUACAAAUCCAAUCGUGUCGUUUAGGAAAAUAAUAAAAAAAAAAAAAACCUUUAUUAUGACAUACGAAUAAUUAUUAAUGUAUAUAUUAGGCGCGGCCGGUUUUCAUUAUGUGCCUAAAUUUAAACCUACACCUGUGUAUAAAUCGAAAAAAAAAAACAAGAAAAAACCUCGCGCGUGCCCCGCAAUAAUAAUAAUAAUAAUACGAUAUUGUUUGACUGACGAUAAUAUAUUAUUAUUUUAUACUGAAUGUUAAUCGAAUAAGUUUUGACGACUUUUAAUCGUGUUCGAAACUUUUAAAAAUAAAUUAAAAAGGGGGGAAAACGGUUAGCGAAACGAAAACAAAUUUAAUUUACUGCUCCGCGCUUGUGUAAUAUAUUAUUAUUAAUAGGGCGAAAUAAAUCGUUAAAAAAAAAGCCAUUUGAAAUAGCCAAAAAAAAAAAAAAAACUACACAUAUUUAAUUUGUUUAUUAAAAAUUAAAUACCGCGGACGAAUAAAUAAUGCCCUCGAGCACUAUAACUAUUGCCUACAUAGUGUCUGACGUAAUAGUUUAUAUAGUAGUAGACGUUGUUAGCGGAUUCGCGUAAACCAGAACGAAAGAGAAAAAACCGACAGUCGGCGAAUUGAUAGCGAUUACGUUGAUAACAUGUUUUUUAUCGUAAAGGUGCGUGUGUGUUUAUGACGCCGUCGCAGCGUGCCGACGGGCCGUUGAUUUUCACCGGUCGUCAACACUCAGAAGGAAAUCGUAAACACGCCACUGACCGUGACACUCGCGACAUCUCUCCGUCAAUCGCCAAUAUUAUUAUAGGUUUUUUUUUUUUUUUUUUAAUAAAAUUUAUUGAAAUUCGAUUUGCGGAGGCUUAUUGAAUACGAUAAUUCCGCCGAACGGUGUGGGCAGUCAAUUCGUUCGUAUUCGUACCGGCCCGUGUACGGAAAACGUGGGCGAUAAGUCCGUCAGUACCUUAUAACAAGAGGCACGCAUAGGUGGGUACCCGAGACCCGAGUAUAUUAUCGUUGGAGUUACGGUCGUUAUUAUAACAGACACUCCGUUUUUUGAAUAAGGUUAUUUUUGUUUCGUUUUCACCCGUCCUACGUCGUCGGUCGGACUCGGGCGCUGUUCAACGACAAUGCAGCAGUCGUCUCCGUCGUUGUCUCAACUGUUUAUUAUAAUAUGUCUAUCGAUUAUGUGUAUCAAGUCUGUCGUCUUAAACGACGGCGAAAAACCAACGAGAAAGCCCAACAAGUGGCGCCGAAACCGUACGGUUUUCCGCCUGCGGGAGGCGGUCCGAGACAUUUCGGUCCGGAUUUCGCGCCGGCUGCUGUGCGAAUUUACGGAUCAUAUUCGGCGAAACGCGCUUGGACCGUCGAAGAUAAUGCGUUUUGUUCGAAUGGUUUUUUUUCUGUUCAUUUUCCCGUAUAAACGGCUCGGAGUCAAUAAAAAGUUCGUUACUACACGCGCGUUUAUCGACGGUCGAAACGAGCAAAGGGCGCGCUACCUCUAAGAGGAUUACAAACGCGGAACGAAAGUAUACGCGAGUGUCGUACGAGUUUUAUGGGAUUUGUGCGGUGUAGUAGCCGUUGUUGGUUUCGAAUCCGUUUCUCUUCGGGCAGACAACCCCCUCCCCCUCCUCCAUUCAUCCCUCCCACCCGGUCCGUCGACAAUCGUUCACAGCAUUGCCGUGUUAUUAUUACUCGCGCGCGCGAGUUUUUUCGUCGUACAAACGUCCCCCGGGGGGGGGGGGGAAGCGAAACAAUUACGUAUACUUGAUUGUGCAGUAUUACCGCCGUGUGGCGCAACGGUGAUCGGCGCGGUCGGUAUGUGGGUCGGAUCUGACCUGCCCCCCCGGUCGAAACGAAAUGCGCCACCGCGAAACGGCCGUGUAACGGUCGCGUGAUCGUUUUCACCUAUACAUCGAAUUGUGUAUUUCGGAGCGGUAAUGAAAACUCCGUCGUGCGUAAAAAAAAAAUCCGUAACUUUUACUCUAAAAUAUCGCGUGUUACACGGCCGGUGGUUCUUGACCUUUUUUUUUUUUUUUUUUCUCUCUCUCCCGGCGCCCGUUCGUCGAGAUACGUGCCCGCCGCGGACGUCGUCUCCCUCUCGCAGAUACAAAAAGACCGGACGGCGGGAAAUUUUCCCGAGUGUACAUUACCGUUAUACGCGGGUCGGCACACGAAAUAUUCCGGAUGAAAACCUAUCGACCCCGCGAAGAACGACCGCCGCUGCGGCCCGAAACACCGGCGUUCUUACGGCGUUGCCGUCGCCGUAAACGUUAAUUUCUACGCCGGCUCGCGAAACAUCAUCGCCGGGCAAACAGCAGAAUGUUAUUGGCGCUCGGCGAGCAUUCACGUCCCCGUGACGCGAUCACAAGAUAAUUUCAGAAGCGGACCGGCCACUACCCGUGAACAAUGGUCGUGCGCGAGGCGACGGGCCCGGAGGUCCGGUAAACCGCGGCGAUUCGUCGUUUAUCACCGCUGCCGGCACAUCGUAAACAAAGCGCCUCCGCGCAUCAUGGAACCCGGAGUAGCCGUACCCGUCCCUCUCGAUGGCCUAUCCGCGUCGUUCGUUAUCUGUAUGGACGCGAUCCGUAGGUAAUGAUAACGAUAACGGUAACGUACUGCGGGUCCGGGGCGGACGGGCCGCGGCGAUCCGAUCGACCGCGAUGAACGCCGGGAUUGAAAUUUGUUUUCUCAUUUUCGCGUACGUACAGCCUCGACGACCGUCCGCGUAAAACACCCGCGCACGCAGAGGUAAUAACGGCCACGUGCCCGAAGGAUUUACGCGGAGUGCGUGUCGCGGGGAUCUGAUCGUAGAUAUUUUUAUUAUUUUUUUUUUUUUCUAGAAAAUACAUAAUGCAAUUUCUGUAUGUAUAGAUAAUACACCCGCACGGAGCUCUUUGGCGCAGCGCAUUGUAAUAGGCGCACGUAUUUUUAUUUUUUUUUCCCACAACUACGCGGCGACGCGCGAUUUUCCGUACACGUCGGGCGUAAUAAGGCGAUAGAAUUGUUCAAUUUUUUUCCUGAACAAAAAGCUUUUUACUUAUUAUUAUUGUUAUUGUUAUAUUUCGCUCUCUAUAUAUGCCUACUUGAAACGGAAAAAAAGACGAUUUUACAAAAAAAAAAAAAAAUACGAAAAUCACGCAACACAUAUUACGUACUAUUACGAUUAUUGUAACGUUUAGAAUUAUCAUUAUUUGUGGUUUUUUUUUUCUUUUACUCGCCACACUAAAAUAUACGCAAUUUUAUUAUAUAUAUAUAUAUAAAUUAAUUUUUAAACAUUUAAUAUUAACUGUUUUUUUUUUUUUUAAAUUUCAUAAAAAUAACGACAUGAUAUUGUUAUUAUUGUGUUUAUAUUAUUAUAAUUAAUACAUACGGAGUCGUUAAUGCGACGCGACUCGUAUUGCGCUUCGAGUUAAUCCGCGUCCGUAUGCACGGGCGAACGUAACAGCUGCAGUUACGUCCGGAUAUUGGGGGGGGGGGCGGUGGGGGAACGAGCGUCCGCGACGAAUCGUAAUUUUUCCGCGGGGAUUUACCCCCGAAAUUUUCUCUGCGAAUCCAAAACCGCUCGAACCGUCCGAUAACCGCCAGUAUAUUAGUAUUUCAUUAAAGCUUCAAAGCGCAUCGAGUCGAGUGGCAUUGUAUAGUGCGUAUUUGACGAACCCGGUAUACACUACGACGCACGUAUAACGCCGCUAAAAAAGAACCGUAUUCGAAUAUUAAUAAUUAUUGUAUUAUAAUAUAUGAUAUCGAUAAUAAUAAAAAGAAGAUAUUAUAGUAUAUAAUGUUAAAAAUUGUAAUUAUUAUUGUAAUUUUUUUUUUUAAGUAAAUAUUAAUGUAAACUGGAUAUUAUAAU